This 601-nucleotide ribosomal RNA is filed under the name uncultured Bacillus sp. RNAcentral's name for it is "bacterial SSU rRNA". It matches the Rfam family "Bacterial small subunit ribosomal RNA", at positions 10 to 594 of the family's 1533-position model. Lineage: Bacteria; Bacillati; Bacillota; Bacilli; Caryophanales; Bacillaceae. The record is from RNAcentral.
AGUUUGAUCAUGGCUCAGGACGAACGCUGGCGGCGUGCCUAAUACAUGCAAGUCGAGCGAAUCGAUAGAAGCUUGCUUCUGUUGGUUAGCGGCGGACGGGUGAGUAACACGUGGGCAACCUGCCUGUAAGACUGGGAUAACACCGGGAAACCGGUGCUAAUACCGGAUAAUCCUUUUCCUCUCAUGAGGAAAAGCUGAAAGUCGGUUUCGGCUGACACUUACGGAUGGGCCCGCGGCGCAUUAGCUAGUUGGUGAGGUAACGGCUCACCAAGGCGACGAUGCGUAGCCGACCUGAGAGGGUGAUCGGCCACACUGGGACUGAGACACGGCCCAGACUCCUACGGGAGGCAGCAGUAGGGAAUCUUCCACAAUGGACGAAAGUCUGAUGGAGCAACGCCGCGUGAGCGAUGAAGGCCUUCGGGUCGUAAAGCUCUGUUGUUAGGGAAGAACAAGUACCGGAGUAACUGCCGGUACCUUGACGGUACCUAACCAGAAAGCCACGGCUAACUACGUGCCUGCAGCCGCGGUAAUACGUAGGUGGCAAGCGUUGUCCGGAAUUAUUGGGCGUAAAGCGCGCGCAGGCGGUCCUUUAAGUCUGAUG